GUGGCUACAGAGCAUGACAGGGCAGUGAUGUGCUGAAUCCUUACAGCAUUGGUCACAUUGCCAGGUGCUCUUCUCUCAAUUCAGAGUUUCCUCGCAUCCUGUGUCAAGCCAGGUAUUUCUAAUAUGCCCCUGUGGGCUAGAGGAGCUGCAGUGUACUAGCCAUGAACCGAAGGUGUGACAUGGCAGAUGGAAGGAGCAGUGGGAGUCUGGGUGAAUCCUUCAGUCCAACGGUGCGUCCUCUGGGCUGCGAGCGGAAAGUGACCGUGGAUUACAGCACGAUAAUCCCGAGAACCGGGCGGAUUUACAGUUUGAUUUGCUUUCUUCAACACGGCGACAUUGGGUGUUCGCCCGACACCCCUUCUAUUAUUUGUAAAGUGACAGCAGCAAUAUGAGCUCUUAGCGUUCUUUAGAUCCUCCAAUGCAGCUCUGUGGUUGAGAUGAGAGCAGCGGAGUCAAUCAACAAUGACAACUUUCCAUUUCCUUUUAUAUGCAAUUGAUUCAAGACUGAGUAAAAAGAAAAAACAGUUUGAUCUCAAAACCUCUACACACCUCUGAGACCGAUCUGUAAAACACAUCCCUGAGUGUGUCCUCUGUUUGCUUUCAAAUCUAGAAAUACCAUCUUUCAGUGAUUUGCCUCCACUUAACAGUCAGAUUGCAGGAGAUGUUGUGACAUCACCCAUCUUUUAGUGAGUUUUUGUGUUGAAUAAAGACCAAAAAGUUGUUAUAUCCCAGUGAAUCUGAACUUUUACCUUUUUAUAUAUAAUGCCAUAAUUGAAUGUGUUUAUAGCUUUUUCUCUUUCAUGAGAAUUAGGAGAAAUCAAAAUUCAAAUCAACUUAAAAUAUUAACCUCAAGCUCAGAGUCGAUUCAUUAAAAUAAGAAUAAUGAUUGAAAA
Pleuronectes platessa (European plaice) is the source of this 893-nucleotide long non-coding RNA. RefSeq lists it as uncharacterized. The record is from RefSeq and is a predicted model, not a curated record. The transcript has 3 exons. Lineage: Eukaryota; Metazoa; Chordata; Actinopteri; Pleuronectiformes; Pleuronectidae.